AUGCCAUGGUGAGGGCACUUCACUAGCAUCCCUUUAAAUCUUUCCCAAGUUUCUUUCAAGGACUCAGUUGGCUGCUGCUUAUACUGCAAUAUUUCAUCAAUCUGUCU
This 107-nucleotide small nucleolar RNA is filed under the name Nicotiana attenuata. Its description in RNAcentral is "Plant small nucleolar RNA R71". It matches the Rfam family "Plant small nucleolar RNA R71". Rfam says of the family: R71 is a member of the C/D box family of snoRNAs containing the C (UGAUGA) and D (CUGA) box motifs. Multiple nearly identical copies of this snoRNA have been identified in Arabidopsis, and it is thought to function as a 2'-O-ribose methylation guide for 18S ribosomal RNA. The record is from Rfam by way of RNAcentral. Lineage: Eukaryota; Viridiplantae; Streptophyta; Magnoliopsida; Solanales; Solanaceae.